This is a non-coding RNA of Mycena metata, 95 nucleotides long. NCBI's taxonomy places the organism in Eukaryota, Fungi, Basidiomycota, Agaricomycetes, Agaricales, Mycenaceae. The record is from the annotation of a GenBank genome assembly.
GACCUGAUAGCACAGUUGGUUAGUGCAUCUGCUGAAAAUAGCCGGUGGUGAAGAAUCUUAAGCAGAAGACCCUCGUUCGAUUCGGGGUUGGGUCA